GACAUUUCUGUCACGUGAUUAAGAGGGAGUGUGCUUCCUCAAUCGGACACUUCCACUUCCUACUGGGCCGGUAUCAAUCUUGUGCAAAAAUGUCACAUCAAACGGGAAUAUCAGCUUCCAAAAAUUUGGCAGACUUCUUUGCCAUUUGUAAGGAUGGAAGUAUUCGUUUGGUAAAGAUCUCUAUUGAAAAUGAACAACUUGUACUUUCUCACAAUGAAAAACCUGUCAACACUUGGGAGGAUGAUUAUGACCAGCUGAUAUUGCCGCUGUUGGAGGAAAAGCAGCCAUGCUAUAUCUUCUUCCGCACAGAUGAAAAAGGAGGCACAGGAAUGGCAUUUCAGUGGAUUUUCAUCAGUUGGUCCCCUGAUUUUUCACCAGUCCGACAGAAGAUGUUGUACGCUGGAACCAGGGCCACUUUGAGGAAGGAGUUUGGCGGCAAUUACAUCAAGGAUGAAGUUUUUGGAACUGCAAAGGAGGACGUGACACUGGCGGGCUACAGGAAACACCGGCAGUCCCAGCAGGCACCAGCGCCGCUCACGUACGCCGAGGAGGAGCUGGACAUGAUCAAGAAGAAUGAGGUACAUGCAGAGAUCGGCGUGGACACGAAGCACCAGACGGUCCAGGGGGUGAUGUUCCCCCUCACACAGGGGGCCCGGGACAAGCUCGAGGGCUACAAGGAGGGCAUGUACUCGUAUGUUCAACUUAGUUUAGAUCUCAAGGCAGAAGUGGUGGAUGUUGAGUGUGUAGAAGAAGACUUGAACCUGUCCAGGCUCACAUCCAAAGUCCCCACUGACCAUGCCCGCUACCAUCUUGUCAACUUCAAACACUCGCACGAAGGAGACUAUAUGGAGAACACAGUGUUCAUCUACUCCAUGCCGGGGUACAAGUGUUCCAUCAAGGAGAGGAUGCUCUACUCCAGCUGCAAGUCCCCCCUCACAGACACUCUGGAGAAGUCCAUCGGCAUCGCCAUUGUGAAAAAGAUCGAGAUUGAUGACCCAAAAGAAUUAACUGCAGAAUUCUUGCAAGAGGAGAUCCACCCCAAGAAGAAUGCAGUGCGCCAAGCGUUUGCCAAGCCGAGGGGCCCUGGGGGCCGUGGUCCACGGAGAAUGACAAAACCCACACCAGCGGGAGAAGAUUGAUACGGCAGAUGGUUAGACUAACACCUCAUGUCACCAGCAUCAUCAUUUCGUCAUCGCUUUGCACCAUGCUCAGGACAGAUCUUUAGUAUUUAUGUUUUCUUUAGGGCUGUUAUGUGAAUAGGAAAAAGUGACGGUUACCAUGGUUAUUUCUGUAAACUCCUUCAAGGAGGAUAUGUUAUCAGGGGUCCGGAAAAUUUAAAAUCCCAAUCGGUCAUUUGCAUUUAAGCCACGCCCCCUUCAAAUAGCGUAUUUUCGUACGACUUUUCACACACAUUACAAGUUUUUACGUACAGUGUUCCCUCGUUAUUGAGCCCUUGGAUUAUAGCGCGGUAGAGCAUGGCUCCCAUGAAUAUAUGGCCAAUUUUCUUUCUGAUUUUUAAAGAUUUUUGUGAGGCAAGAGGGAAAAUUUAAAACUUUUUCCAAAGAAAAAAUGAACACAAAAUGAUAUCAGAAAAUCAAACAACGAGAUUAAUCCUAAAUUAGACAAGCUUUUUCUCUUCUUUUUUUCAUUUUUCAAAUUUAUGGCUUGGGUUGUCCAGAAAACAAAAAAAUUGUUUUAGCCUGAUGUUAUUUCAGAAUAUAAAUUGAUUAAUUGAAUAAGUUGACACCUUUAGAAAGUGAAAAGAAUGAAUUUGUAUGGAAAAUGUUGCUUUCAGUUUCAGUAUUCAUGUUUGAAGCCAACACUUUACAUUAGGAACGGUUAAGUUUUGUUAUUGUUUUCAUGAGGAGCGUUGUGUUCAUGUUGAAAUAUGUUUUUAUGAUAAAAGAAUCUAUAUUUUUGUUAUCAGAGUUUAUUUCUGAUGAGUUGGUUUGUGAAUGACAGAUGGUAACACGAUCAGGAAGACAAAAAAGUGAAAAGUAGGUUUGUAGAAUAAUUCAAUAUAUAUAUAUGGUUUUAGUUAUAAUUUAAAAAUCUUAUUGUAUAGAUGAUUCAUUGAAUUCGAAGUAUUCUGUUGCCAUUAGAGCAUUAUUGAUCUUCACUGAGAAUUUAUCUUGAAUGAGAGUUUUUCAACUUUGAAUGUAUUUGUUUAAAAAUGGUCCCGUUCACAUUUUGUUGAAACAGGAAGAGUCAUCUCCCUUGCUUGGGAGCACUUCAAGGAAUGUACAACUGCUGAAUUUUCUUUCAUUAUGUUCUCUGUAUUUCUUUUGAGUUCAUAAUUAUCGGCAAUACGGUACAGGGAAACUUUAUUCUGAAUGUACAUGGUUCACUGUCACGUAAUAUAUAUCUGGAACCGGUUACAUAACUCAUUCACAUUUCAAAACUGCAAAGGUGUUUUAUGUAUAAGACUACAUUUACAGAAUUGUGCCACUUUUUAUUCCACAUUAAGAACUAUAAAAAAUUGUAAGUAAAGUCAUUUCUUAAAAAAUUCAGUUCAGAUCACAGUGACUUUAACCAUGACAGAAUAUACCCAAUUAUAUUUUUGUCAAACCUGGUUGUCAGUUCCUGCUGGUUAUGAAAAAUGACAAGUGGUGAUGAAUGUUAUCAGGCACACCUUUUUGUUAUGACCCCUGAUUAAUCGAAGCACGUUACACCAGAGUCCCCCUGUAUACUGUCACAUGACAAACAUUUAUUUUUUUAAGGAUGUCUGCUGGUUUGAUUUUGUGUUGACUACACAGCUCAAAUUGUCGUGUCACUUAACAACAAUUUUUAAUCUAUCGCCAAUAUCAAUCGGUGCUGCCGAAAAUCAUAGAACAAGGUCAAAUAGUUAAUGAUAUGGUGGUUUAAAACAAUAUUAAUUCCGAUUUUAAACAGAUCAGUUUUUGCCGACAGCUGACAAAAUUGGUGGGAGAAGUGAUUCCAUGUUCUUUGGAACCAAGACCUCUCUAUAUUGUAACCUUGAUGUCUGAUAGCUCUGUAUCUCAUUGAUGGAAUUGUCUGCAUCACUUCGAGCUUUCCUCCCUCAUUAAGCUGACACGUCGUGAUACAACUGUAAUACAGUUAAAAGCAAUGUUAAACUCACCCAUUCACUCACUGAUAGACGUCGCUAUAUAAGCGCAAUAAUCUUGGACGCGACGUUAAACCCAAUUUCACCUCACUUACUGAUAGAAUGUCACUUCACACAAGAUUAAUGGAAAUAUGUAAAUGAACACAUUUUCUUCUAUUUGCUCAAGCAUUAUUAAUUGUUUUUUUGUAUGUGAACCAUUCGUUAUGUGGUUAGAAUAUUAAAAAUGUUAAAUACCUUUUUUUCAAUUCUAUUAUUAUUCAAAUGUGUUCACACAGUGAGUGAUUUUUAUAGUAAUUUGUGACAUUGAUGUGUCUGAAGCAAGGUAAUGAUCACUAUCCAUGCUAACUGCCUUCUUUUUUCAACUUAACAAAAUACCUACCUACGAAAAUACUUUGAAAAAAUACCAGCGGACAUCUUUAAGUGCCAGAAGUUGUAUUUGUUUUUGUUAGCCCUGCCAACAUUCCUGGUAUACUGUUUCUACUGAGAAAAAGUCUUUUGUUUCUGUCUGGGUCAUUAAUGCCCCUUUUGUCAUUUGUACACAGCAAGGGUGGGUAACUCUGCAUGUUACAUAACAAGGGCAGGUAACUCUACUGAUCAUUUGUACACAACCAGGGCACAUAACUCAAAACAUGUUUUCAUGGCACGUCAAAAUAUGUCUUAGAUUUUGCUUACCUCAGCCAGAAACAAAAGACUUUUCAUUCUUGGCCAUGUAGAAGUUCUCAGGAUCUCUUGUGUUGAAUUCAGAUUGUUAUUGAUUGCUUGCUCAGACUCGGUAUUCCAUUUCUUUUAUGUUCAGUUCUGUUUUAACCAAUCACACAUCAUAAGGAGUUCAAACCAUUUCAUCAGUUUAAAAAUAUCAGUGAACAUUCUGUGCGAUAGUUACGUCCAGACAUUGUGGAGUGAUCACAAUAACAAACAUACUUCUGAUCACCAGGAGUUGCAAUACAAAUACUAUUCAUACAAAAGAAAAUUGAUUUUGGUGGUGCUUAACUCAUAGCAUACUGAUGGUAAAAAAGAAAAUGUUGACUUUUAUAGUAGAACUGCUUCACAUCAGUAAAUUAAGUCACUGCAUGAAAUGUUAGAAUAUUAUGUGAAAAUUGAUGUGACUUUCUUCAAGGACAAUUGUCAAUCACAUGUUUAUCUUAUUAGCCAUUCCCAUUUAUAUUUCCAUCAAUAUGUCUGGAGUUCACUGCAUUGUCCUGUACAUAUGUAUCACAAAAAUGUGGUUGGCUUGGCUUGGCUUGGCUGUGUUUGUAGGGUUAUAACACCCUUUUCUAGUAAUUUCUAAUUUUGACAUUCUUUAUCUGAUUGAUUUAUAUUUUAUACUUGUCACUGGAAAAGGAACUGUAUACUGAGAGUUUAAAUCAAUGUUUAUAUCAGUAGUCCUGGAAUGGUAUUGUUAUGGGUGAUGUUGUUCUGAAUGCGUACAAUUCAAGGCAAAUAAUACAAAAAUAAAAUAAACUUUUCUGACACUAUGAUCAAGAGAGCUUUCAAGUUGAGAUAGGUCACAAUAUAUGAACAAAGACAGUGUUACAGAUCUCAUUACACAAACCUGCUGCUUUAUCAAGGUUGUUUAUGAGUAUAUUUUAUUUUAUGAAUGAAGCAUUGGAGAGGAAUAUUUAAUAUAUGAAACGCAUACUGGGUAGGUACCUACAGGUGUUGUGUAAGGGCAUUGACAUGAUUAUGUUGCAAUAUAUACUUCUAUCUAAAUAGUUCAAAUUUCCGUUUCUGCUUUAAUGAAAAAAAACAUGAUUAACAGUAAGACACACUGCAGUCAUGGAGAAGAUGUCUUUGACAGAAUAUCAUGGUGGUCUGACUCGGUCACUUGGCCGAUUCCUGUCAUCGUCCCCCAAGACAAUGCUGCUCAUUCAGUCAGUCACUGGUUUGUCUGGUCUGACUUCAUCAUUACAGACUGCUGUGAUAUACUGUAGCUGCAAUAUUGCUGUCUUCUGCAUUUACACAAAACAUCCUUGCCCUUUGUGUAAGGUAAGAUGGUGGUAGGUCUUCGUGUAGCAAUAGGAAUUGGGAAUAUUAGUUUGAAGAUGAUGACAAUUUUUGCCAUAAACUUUAACAUAUUUUAAUUAAAAUGAUUGUCAUUUCCAUUUUUAUCAUGUACCACUGGAGAAUUACAUCCUUAUCUGUCCUGCCUCAGUACAGUGUAAGGGCGGGUAACUCUAAUCACUUCACCAGCAUGGCAACAUUAUUUCAUUGCCUUGUGGCUCUACAUUUAGAUUCUAUAUAUACUACAGAAGAAACUGUCUCUGUCUGUCAUUGCAUCCAUAUUUGCGAAGACGAACAAAUACUUUUCAAGCUUUAUCACCCCUAGAAGUCCAAUUCAAGAAAACAUUGUGGUGAUUAUAGGGUCAUGUUUGCAGUGUUAAAAAUUAUACAAUUAAAGACUUAGUCCAAAUUUUGACAAUAGAAUUUGGAACUCCUCAAAGUUGUCAAGAACCCUGUGUGUACCGAUAACUUUUACGGAAACUAUGACCAAAAUGUUAUCUAUUAUUCAGGAGAAUAACUUAAAUAGUUAUGAGUAAAAAUUCAAUGGUUGAAACGGUGGUAAGAGUGUUAUGGCUGAUUAUAUUUUGAUGGUUUUAUGCAACUAGAUCGGUAGAUGUACACGUCAUGUUUAUUUCUGGAAAUCAUCAACCACGUUGUCAGACAACCGUCCACCCUGCUGAUAACAGCACCAACCGCAGCUGUACUUUGACUGUCAAAUAUAUUUUGCAAAUCGUAUUUUGAUGGAACAUGUUAUUUUCUAAUAGUGCUGUCUUAUCUGUUUCCGACUUGUUUGAUCAUGUGCUUAGCUUAGCUUCGACUUCCGGAUGGGUAUUUUUCUUUCAUUCCUUGACUUUCAUACUAUACUGAACAAAAAGAGUUAAGGAUAAUGAAUAUUUGGGGGGAUCUUUUUUUGUAAUUACGACUGAAGACUCAAUUUUAUAAAAAAAAUACCCUAAAAAUAUUCAUGAUCCCAAAGUUUUGUUCAGUAUAUUUCAGGUGAGUGCUGGUCGAUGGGUUCAACCUGUUUAUACAUCUUUGCUUAUUGCUAACUAUUAACAAUGUAUAUAUGGAUAUGAAGUGCAUUGUUUGUACGUAUGUACAUAGUUUUUACCUUGUACACUCCUGGGCAAUUUAUGAUAUGAACAACUAUCUCAAAGGUGUGGAAACCGUGCAAAAUGUCUCUAUGAAAGUGGAUAGAAAUAUGAUGUCUGAAUAGCUGAUACCUACUGACAUUAAUAUAGAAGUUAUCAUAGAGCAAGUGUGAAGUUUUCAGAAUAUUUCUGAUGGAAAAGUGAAUUGUGAAUUUAUUUAUAACAAAUGAAUUGAAAUAAUUAUAUUCAAACAUACAAAGUAAUUAGUAAGAAAUUUAUUUUAUAAACAGUUAUAAUGAAUAUAGUAAUUAUUGCUUUUGUGAAUUUCUGCAGAUUUGAGAUGGCUACUACCAAUAAUUAUUGAUUAUGACUAUGAUUAUGAUAAUUCAGUGGUCAGUUCAUCCGCCUCACCAUGCCUCAUCUGUGUUUUCCAUACUGUGGUGCAAUCUAUACUUUCUAUGUAGGAGUGUUCUGCUGGAGCUCUGCUGAAGGCUCUGCUUGCCUCCGUUGUUAACCGUGAUACCUGUCAACAAGGAGUGUUGAGAUUGUUAGCAAAUAUUCUGUAAAAUACCUUUCAUGUAAAUAUUGAUACUAAUGAAUAAAACAAUGAUUUGUUCUCCCA
This 6799-nucleotide unclassified non-coding RNA is filed under the name Haliotis rufescens (red abalone). RNAcentral's name for it is "twinfilin-1-like, transcript variant X1". Lineage: Eukaryota; Metazoa; Mollusca; Gastropoda; Lepetellida; Haliotidae. The record is from RNAcentral.